This 253-nucleotide ribosomal RNA is filed under the name uncultured bacterium. Its description in RNAcentral is "partial 16S ribosomal RNA". It matches the Rfam family "Bacterial small subunit ribosomal RNA", at positions 524 to 776 of the family's 1533-position model. The record is from RNAcentral.
UACGUAGGGCGCAAGCGUUGUCCGGAAUUAUUGGGCGUAAAGAGCUCGUAGGCGGUUUGUCGCGUCUGCUGUGAAAACUCGAGGCUCAACCUCGGGCUUGCAGUGGGUACGGGCAGACUAGAGUGCGGUAGGGGUGACUGGAAUUCCUGGUGUAGCGGUGGAAUGCGCAGAUAUCAGGAGGAACACCGAUGGCGAAGGCAGGUCUCUGGGCCACUACUGACGCUGAGAAGCGAAAGCAUGGGGAGCGAACAGG